GAUGAACGCUGGCGGCGUGCUUAACACAUGCAAGUCGAACGGAGAAAGGGUAGCUUGCUAUCUUUUCUUAGUGGCGGACGGGUGAGUAACGCGUGGGUAACCUGCCCUUUGCAGGGGGAUAACAGUGAGAAAUCACUGCUAAUACCGCAUACCAACUUCUUUCGCAUGAAAGAAGUUUGAAAGAUUUAUCGGCAAAGGAUGGACCCGCGUUGGAUUAGCUAGUUGGUGAGAUAACAGCCCACCAAGGCAACGAUCCAUAGCCGGCCUGAGAGGGUGAACGGCCACACUGGGACUGAGACACGGCCCAGACUCCUACGGGAGGCAGCAGUGGGGAAUAUUGCACAAUGGGCGAAAGCCUGAUGCAGCGACGCCGCGUGAAGGAUGAAGGUCUUCGGAUUGUAAACUUCUAUCAGCAGGGAAGAAAGGGCCUAUGGCCUAUGACGGUACCUGACUAAGAAGCCCCGGUAACUACGUGCCAGCAGCCGACGGUAAAAGUCUA
Molecule: ribosomal RNA, 499 nt
Filed under: uncultured bacterium
Lineage: Bacteria
Description: bacterial SSU rRNA
Rfam family: Bacterial small subunit ribosomal RNA
Source: RNAcentral